AAAACACUGGACCUUUGCCUAUUUUACUGGAAGUUUCUCUCUUAGAGUAUGAUGAAAAGAGGAUUGGUUGUAAGAGACCUGGCUGCAAGGCUCACCUCCACUAAGUAGCCAUAGACAUUUUGGCCACUAAUGUGCUGUGAGUCACCUUAUUCCUCUGGUCCACAGCUUCUUCAUCUGGGAAAGGAAGACAUUGGAUUGUAAAGAUCUUGAUCUGUUGC
This 218-nucleotide long non-coding RNA is filed under the name Homo sapiens (human). Its description in RNAcentral is "HSALNT0270110". Lineage: Eukaryota; Metazoa; Chordata; Mammalia; Primates; Hominidae. The record is from RNAcentral.